GACCUGCGGAAGGAUCAUUGUCAAAACCUCUGCAAGAGCAGAACGACCCGUGAACUUGUGAUAACAAUCGUGGGGAGCGGUGGCUUCGCAGCCGCACCCCCACGUCUCCGCGGGUGCGGGACUAGUCUCGUUCCCCGUGGGGGCGAACAACGAACCCCCGGCGCGGUCUGCGCCAAGGAAAUCUAACGAGAGAGCACGCUCUCAGGGCCCCGGACACGGUGUGCUCUGGGACGCGGCGCCUUCUUUCACUCUAUCUAUAACGACUCUCGGCAACGGAUAUCUCGGCUCUCGCAUCGAUGAAGAACGUAGCGAAAUGCGAUACUUGGUGUGAAUUGCAGAAUCCCGUGAACCAUCGAGUCUUUGAACGCAAGUUGCGCCCCAAGCCUUUAGGCCGAGGGCACGUCUGCCUGGGUGUCACGCAUCGUUGCCCCACCCCWCCCCCUCCGGGGGCCUGGCGGUGCGGGCGGAUAAUGGCCUCCCGUGCGCUCCCCGCUCGCGGUUGGCCCAAAAAUUGAGUCCCUGGCGACCGGAGCCGUGACGAUCGGUGGUGAAAACAAACCUCUCGAGCUCACGUCUCGUGCUCGGCCCCCUGUUUCGGGACUCAUAGACCCUGAAGCUCUGUGCAAGCAGCGCUCGCAUCGCGA
RNAcentral lists this unclassified non-coding RNA (644 nucleotides) under Zanthoxylum bungeanum. Its description in RNAcentral is "partial contains internal transcribed spacer 1, 5.8S ribosomal RNA, and internal transcribed spacer 2". Lineage: Eukaryota; Viridiplantae; Streptophyta; Magnoliopsida; Sapindales; Rutaceae. The record is from RNAcentral.